RNAcentral lists this ribosomal RNA (224 nucleotides) under uncultured bacterium. RNAcentral describes it as "partial 16S ribosomal RNA". It matches the Rfam family "Bacterial small subunit ribosomal RNA", at positions 8 to 214 of the family's 1533-position model. The record is from RNAcentral.
AGAGUUUGAUCAUGGCUCAGGAUGAACGCUGGCGGCGUGCUUGACACAUGCAAGUCGAACGGAGUUGAUCGGAGGAAGUUUUCGGAUGGAAUCGGAUUGACUUAGUGGCGGACGGGUGAGUAACGCGUGGGUAACCUGCCUCACACUGGGGGAUAACAGAUAGAAAUAUCUGCUAAAACCGCAUAAGCGCACGAGGUCGCAUGACCAUGUGUGAAAAACUCCGG